CACGUAGGCGGAAUGUUAAGUGAGGGUGAAAUCCCAGGGCUCAACCCUGGAACUGCCUUUCAUACUGGCAAUCUAGAGAUCGAGAGAGGUGAGUGGAAUUCCGAGUGUAGAGGUGAAAUUCGUAGAUAUUCGGAGGAACACCAGUGGCGAAGGCGGCUCACUGGCUCGAUACUGACGCUGAGGUGCGAAAGCGUGGGAGCAAACA
RNAcentral lists this ribosomal RNA (205 nucleotides) under uncultured bacterium. Its description in RNAcentral is "partial 16S ribosomal RNA". It matches the Rfam family "Bacterial small subunit ribosomal RNA", at positions 568 to 774 of the family's 1533-position model. The record is from RNAcentral.